GUGAAUCAUCAAAUUUUUGAACGCAAAUUGCGCUUCCUGGCAUCCCGGGAAGUAUGCCUGUUUGAGGGUCGGUUUUAACAAAAAGUCGGUUUGGUUGCAAAUUGUGACGUUUCCGGCGUUUGGGCUAUCUUAACUUUUUUGGUUAAGGGGCUUAAAAUUGACCUUAUUUGCGCAUUUUUAUUCGGACAUAAAUUUUUUUUUAUUCGUCUAUUCUUAAUGCCAAAAUCUUAUUAGUUGCGAUCACAUCAUGUGGUGUCGUGUCCAUAAAAUUUUCAUGAUUUGACCUCAAAUCAGGU
RNAcentral lists this unclassified non-coding RNA (296 nucleotides) under Glomeraceae sp. RNAcentral's name for it is "partial contains 5.8S ribosomal RNA and internal transcribed spacer 2". The stretch from base 1 to 71 matches the Rfam family "5.8S ribosomal RNA", at positions 84 to 154 of the family's 154-position model. The record is from RNAcentral. Lineage: Eukaryota; Fungi; Glomeromycota; Glomeromycetes; Glomerales; Glomeraceae.